RNAcentral lists this long non-coding RNA (209 nucleotides) under Elaeis guineensis (African oil palm). RNAcentral's name for it is "long non-coding RNA (EGUI_LNC021566)". The record is from RNAcentral. Lineage: Eukaryota; Viridiplantae; Streptophyta; Magnoliopsida; Arecales; Arecaceae.
CUUGGGGCUUAAGGUGACUAUAGAACUUUCACCAAUUCAUGAGCUGGCCAGAAGUCCAAUAGUAGGCCUCAACAAUAGUCAUGAAGUACCUCAUAUUUAGAAUCAAGGUCUGACGUAUGAGCAAGCAGUCACCAGUAAAAAGAAUGUACAAGAGCAGUUGAAUCCCAGAGGUAGGCCAGUAGGACUCAAACUCAACCCCCUAAACCACC